RNAcentral lists this unclassified non-coding RNA (640 nucleotides) under Debaryomyces hansenii. RNAcentral's name for it is "sequence contains 18S rRNA gene, ITS1, 5.8S rRNA gene, ITS2, 28S rRNA gene". The stretch from base 243 to 396 matches the Rfam family "5.8S ribosomal RNA". The record is from RNAcentral. Lineage: Eukaryota; Fungi; Ascomycota; Pichiomycetes; Serinales; Debaryomycetaceae.
UCGUAACAAGGUUUCCGUAGGUGAACCUGCGGAAGGAUCAUUACAGUAUUCUUUUUGCCAGCGCUUAAUUGCGCGGCGAAAAAACCUUACACACAGUGUUUUUUGUUAUUACAAGAACUUUUGCUUUGGUCUGGACUAGAAAUAGUUUGGGCCAGAGGUUUACUGAACUAAACUUCAAUAUUUAUAUUGAAUUGUUAUUUAUUUAAUUGUCAAUUUGUUGAUUAAAUUCAAAAAAUCUUCAAAACUUUCAACAACGGAUCUCUUGGUUCUCGCAUCGAUGAAGAACGCAGCGAAAUGCGAUAAGUAAUAUGAAUUGCAGAUUUUCGUGAAUCAUCGAAUCUUUGAACGCACAUUGCGCCCUCUGGUAUUCCAGAGGGCAUGCCUGUUUGAGCGUCAUUUCUCUCUCAAACCUUCGGGUUUGGUAUUGAGUGAUACUCUUAGUUGAACUAGGCGUUUGCUUGAAAUGUAUUGGCAUGAGUGGUACUGGAUAGUGCUAUAUGACUUUCAAUGUAUUAGGUUUAUCCAACUCGUUGAAUAGUUUAAUGGUAUAUUUCUCGGUAUUCUAGGCUCGGCCUUACAAUAUAACAAACAAGUUUGACCUCAAAUCAGGUAGGAUUACCCGCUGAACCUAAGCAUAUCU